UUUUUAAUGAUGAGAACGCCCUUAUUAUCUCACUGGUUCUAUUUUCAUCAUUUCUGACUAUUUCAAACUUUCUACUGCUCUUUUUCUGAUAUUGGGUCUUUAUUAUCUGUCUCUUUUGGUUCCUUCUCUCGUGCUCCUUGGCUUUCCACUUUGCUUCCUCUUUCCCUGUUUCAAGGACCCAACAUGGAGUCUUUGCAUGUUUUGAAACCCUACGUGAUUGCACUAGUUGACAGUAAUUGAAACAUCCGGGCCCGAACUGGCCCAAAUAACUUUCGGACCCACUUUCCACGCCAAAUGGUUAACCAAGUUAUUUAGUAGUUUCGUGCUAGCUAUUAUAUAUAAAUCCAUUUUCUUCAAAUCUUCCGAUGUGGGACAGUCAGUUGCCACAAUUCCGCCAAGCAGGCAGCUGACUGUUACACUCGGUCCCGCUAAAAUUUGCGACGUCCUUGUCGCAACUGAAUCCAUUACAAUUGCUACCCAGGACCGGACCCUUAGGUAUUGUGGUUCGCUAGUACCUCGGGUGGCUCCACCUCGUCUCUUACGGGUAGCCCUUUCCUCGCAGGUCCACUAGCUCCGCACAAUUUAUCUGACCCAAGGUGGCUCUGAUACCAAUUGAAACAGCAGGGCCCGAACUGGCCCAAAUAACUUUUGAACCCACUUUCCAUUUGGCCCAAAAUAGUUAACCCAAGUUAUUUAGUAGUUUCGUGCUAGCUAUUAUAUAUAAAUCCAUUUUCUUCAAAUCUUCCGAUGUGGGACGGUCAGCGCCGCAAUUCCGCCAAGCAGACAGCUGACCGUUACAUUCGGUCCCGCUAAAUUUUGCGACGUCCUCGUCGCAACUGAAUCCAUUAUAAUUGCUAACCAGGACCGGACCCUUAGGUAUUGUGGUUCGCUAGUACCUCGGGUGGCUCCACCUCGUCUCUCACGGGUAGCCCUUUCCUCGCAGGUCCACUAGCUCCGCACAAUUUAUCUGACCCAGGGUGGCUCUGAUACCAAUUGAAACAGCCGAGCCCGAACUGGCCCAAAUAACUUUUGGACCCACUUUUCUACUUGGCCCAAAAUGGUUAACCCAAGUUAUUUAGUAGUUCUGUGCUAGCUAUUAUAUACAAAUCUAUUUUCUUCAAAUCUUCCGAUGUGGGACGAUCAGCGCCGCAAUUCCGCCAAGCAGGCAGCUGACCGUUACAUUCGGUCCCGCUAAAUUUUGCGACGUCCUCGUCGCAACUGAAUCCAUUACAAUUGCUAACCAGGACCGGACCCUUAGGUAUUGUGGUUCGCUAGUACCUCGGGUGGCUCCACCUCGUCUCUCACGGGUAGCCCUUUCCUCGCAGGUCCACUAGCUCCGCACAAUUUAUCUAACAUAGGGUGGCUCUGAUACCCAAUUGAAACAGCCGGGCCCGAACUGGCCCAAAUAACUUUUGAACCCACUUUCCACUUG
RNAcentral lists this long non-coding RNA (1432 nucleotides) under Manihot esculenta (cassava). RNAcentral's name for it is "long non-coding RNA (MESC_LNC002880)". The record is from RNAcentral. Lineage: Eukaryota; Viridiplantae; Streptophyta; Magnoliopsida; Malpighiales; Euphorbiaceae.